Non-coding RNA from Physcomitrium patens, 1761 nucleotides. The record is from RefSeq and is a predicted model, not a curated record. Lineage: Eukaryota; Viridiplantae; Streptophyta; Bryopsida; Funariales; Funariaceae.
UUAAAUAACGGGAUGCUGCCUGUAUAUAUUCGUGUCGAGGAACUUUAUCAAAAACUUAGUUCCACACUACUCCCUUAUCGUUUAAUACUUCGGUGUUCAGGGUUUAAACAUACUCCAGCUUGUGGAUACAGGCAUUCAGUUCAGCCUUUGCCAGUUGCUAGAAUAUGAUUAUAUCCACGCCGAUCCCCAUCCUGGCAACCUUCUUGCCACUCCUGAUGGACUCCUGGCCUUUCUGGACUUUGGCAUGAUGAGUGAGGCUCCGGAGAGUGCUGAAUAUGCCAUUAAAGGUCACAUUAUACACCUCGUUAAUCGUAUUUGUCAUUCCAUGGCUAGAGACUACAACGACUUGGACUUCCUCUCACGAGAUGUGGAAUUCCCUUCAAUUGUGUCCGUGCUUCAGUCAUUCUUUGACGAUGUUUUGGGUGCUACAGUUAGCUAACUAAAUUUCUAGACUACUAUUGAUGAAUUGGGAUCUGUUUUUAUAUCAAUAUCCUUUCAAUCGUAGCUGUUGCUCACCCUGUUUGUGCUCCACUUCCCUGAUGGAAUAGAAUUGGUUACAUCCUUAUUAGCAUUGAUGACAGCAAUUUGAUCACUAGUAGAUGUUGGUAUGAUUAAUCAUCGAAAUAAUCUCUUCAAACGGAGCGUGAGUGUAAGUGUGUCCAUUUGUGCCUUUUUGCUAACAAAUUCUAAUCUUGCUGAUCAGUACCUGCUUAUUACGCUCUCAUCUCAAGGUCGUUAACGGUGUUGGAGAGACUCGCACUGACACCUACCCAAGUUUUAAAUUUCCAGCGGCCUCUUAUCCAUAUUUUGUUAAGCGAUUGCUCACCAAUCAGAAUCGUUGCUUGUGAAAUGCUCUGGUCGAACUUCUUUUUCAGGACGGAGUCUUCAGAAAACGCAAGGACUCGGAUUUCAAGGCAAACGAUGUUGUGCAGCCCUUAGUUGAGCUACUGUUAGGGGAAGAGGGAGAUGAACUACAGCUGCAUGUAGAAAGUGAAGUUGUGUGAUUGACUGAAGCUUUGAUAUUAGGCACUGCAAUUGAAAACUUUAGGCAAGUUCCUGCACUUCUACGCGCGUUCUUUCCACCAGUUAGAGCCAGUGUUCAGGAUCAAACAGGCAUGCUCGCUUUGCGUGACCAACUGCUUAGAGAGUUUGACCCUCCGAUGCUUCAACCCUCUGUGGAGAUGUGUCUUUGACAAGCUCUUCCUUCCAGUUGUCUCUUCACUUCUUACGAUGCUCACUUCGCUUGCCAUAGCUCAUGUCAGAGACUUAUUUUGGUACAUACUUCAAAGCAUUACCAUGCUUCAUACACUUAGUAAUGAACAGAAGAUACUAUUCCGGAUGUCUAUUUCUGUUGUGGGUGCAGGUGCUGUCGAGCCCAAAGACUUGCGCAUUUGGAGGCCGCGUUGCCGGUAGUUGGACUCGCCGUUUGGCUGCACGCGCGUCACAGCAGUUGUUACGGCGGCACCUACGACCACAGCCUUACAAUUUUCUUAGUAUAAUGGUCAGUUCUCCAACUACCACUAUAGGAGUCAAUUGUAGAUUCAAUUAUAACUUCAGCAUGGAGUCCAUUGUUAUAAUUGAAGUGCAAUCUCUCCUUUGCUAUAUGUGAAGAGCUCACGAAUAGUUUUGCUGAUUAGCUUGUGAAGCAGAAGAAAGAGGUUGCGGAUGGCUUAUAUACUUCAAGAAACAUUCUUUGAUUAAAAAUGUGGAUGUACUAUCCACUGGUUCCCGCUUCAUAAUGUAAAAAGACAGAUUGUUACA